AUGGCGAUGCCGGCGCUGCGAGUGCGCCGGCCGAGCGGCGUCUCCGCUGCGGGCUCGGCCUUGACGCCGACCACCGCCGGCGAGCCAGAGGAAUGGGAAGAGGAGCGUGAGGAGGAGUGGGAGGAGGAAGACGAGGAGGAGCCGAACCGCCUGGGCAUCCAUUGCCCGGCGCUCCGGCGGGGGAACGGGCCGGCGGCCGCGGCAGGGUAUGUCAGUGGCGGGUCGUUGCCGCCCUCGAGGUGCUGGAGAACCUCAUGGAGCGUGCGGCCGGGGCGCCCCUCGCUGUUCUUGACGCUCCCACCACCGGCGUCCCGUUAG
This 318-nucleotide ribosomal RNA is filed under the name Triticum aestivum (bread wheat). RNAcentral describes it as "partial small subunit ribosomal RNA". Lineage: Eukaryota; Viridiplantae; Streptophyta; Magnoliopsida; Poales; Poaceae. The record is from RNAcentral.